Molecule: long non-coding RNA, 3926 nt
Organism: Beta vulgaris subsp. vulgaris (sugar beet)
Lineage: Eukaryota; Viridiplantae; Streptophyta; Magnoliopsida; Caryophyllales; Amaranthaceae
Exons: 2
Source: RefSeq, a predicted model, not a curated record
GCAAUCGAAGAACUCAUACCUUUCUCGGCCUUUUGGCUAAGAUCAAGUGUAGUAUCUGUUCUUAUCAGUUUAAUAUCUGAUACGUGGGCCAAUGGCCCACAACGAUAUUAAAUUUAUUUUUUAAGGGGGAAGAUCCAUUACAGUAGCUUGCUACUGGGUUCUUCAAGCGUCGCCCAAGCGUUGCACUAUUGCAUGGGCCUGGCGCACCCCUCCAAAUUGAAGUCAAUAAUUAACGUUUUAAUGUUUAUUUUUCUAAAUUACACACUGUUUUGAGUUAGAAAAAUAUUACUUUGAAGCUGGUGUGUUAAUACUUAUAUUAUUGUAGAUAGAAACUCAAUAUUUGAUUGAAGAUUGUAACAUUUAAAAACGAAGUUAUGUAAUAAACACAGUUAGAUGAGGUUUUAAUCUUAAUGACACCAUUAUUCCAAUAUUAAACCUUAGGAAAUAAAAGUUCUAUGUAAGUGUUUUCUUUGAGUAGUUAGUCUUCUUUCUCUGUUCUUGGGCUUUGCCUUCUCAUGCACCCAAAAAGAAAAAGAAGACUAUUAGUUGAUUACAGAAAAUUGCUGCUAAGAAAAAGAAAAGAACAUACUACACUAUGUAGGAAAAAUUAUUCAUUAGAACACCAUAAAUUAAGGACAAUGAUUACAUGAGUAUCAGACUUUAUAUUGAUGAUGGCUUGAAGGAGUGAAGGGUAUGAGACUUGCUGCAUAGUUCUUCCCUAUUUGAGAAUUUUCAUUCUGAAUUCGUCUUUUUUCUUACAAUAUUUAUAUUGAUGCUGGUUAUUCUUCCAGAUAGGGAAACCCAAUACUUGAAUUCUUUCCUCUUAUUAUAUUUUGAAUGAAAAAUUAACAAAAUGAUUGCAGAUCCUAAAAUUAGAAAAUGAAGUUUUGUACUUGAUUGACACUGUUAGAUGAAGUUUUGUAUCUUGAUGAGUGCUUUUUCACAAAUUUUCUGUAAAAAAUAGUUACUUAUGUCUUUUGGUUUUCAAAUAGUCUGUCCAUCGUGUCUUUACAUGAAUCUUAAAUACACAAAUGUAAUCUUAGAUGGAAAACACUAUAUAGGAAAAUUAUCUAUUGAAACACAACAAAUAAAGGACAAUAAUUAGAUGAGAAAAUCAGACUUUAUAUAGCUUAAGGAAAAGUCUGAAGGAGAAGAAUAUAGACUCUCAAAGUCCCACAUUGGCAUUUGAUGUUUGAGGAAGAGAGGAUGAUGGCAAUAAAAUAAGCUGUAGACCAACCUAACAACAUACUUACCUGGACGGGGUCUAUGGGUGAUCAAAAAGGCCCAUUGCCUAGGGUGUUGGCCUCCAUUGCACUUUGGAGGAGCAACGCUCUAAGAUCUCCCCAAGUGGGAGAGUCUACGUCAUAAUUUCUUUCUGAGGGGGCCUGCGUUCGCGCGGCCCCUAUCCAAUUCAGUCUAACUUCUUAAUUUUCUAUAUUAUUCUAUUAUUAAAACGCAUCUGAUUGUGGUUUUUUACGUUAUAUGUUUGAACUUGUGUUGUCAAGAUAUACAUAUUUUAAACUUAUGGAUAUCUAAAAUAAAUCAAACAGACUUUUAGCUUAUAUCAAUGUAUAUUUUCUUAUUAACUGUUUGAAGUAUACUGCUACAUUAGUUCAUUUGAUAAUUGUAUGCUCUUGCUUAAGUUUGCAUCUGUGUGAAAGAGGUUUGCAUUGAUUAAAGUUUAGACUAGGGGAGUAUUGGUGAGAUAAUAUCUGACAUUUGCCAAAUGCCUUUUCCUUCUCUGUAUCAAUUUGCACUUUCGAGAAGUUUUUUUUAUUAGUUCAUUUUAAUUAUAUAAAAGAAGUUAAAGCUAAAAACCUGAGGUGCUUAAGGAAUUACCUUCCAUACAAGUUCAACUAUGACUGACUUCUGAUUAAGUUGUCUUAAAAUUUGACCAUUAUAUCUUGUCAGGUUUGCUGAAUUCAUCUGUAUAAUUGAUGUUUUCAUUGUUUAGAGUUUAGACUAGGGAGUAUUGGUGAGAUAACCUUUUGGUUUUGCUUCUCUAUAUCAAAGUUGUUUUGUUUCUAUGUAUCAAAGUUGAACUUUCGAGAAGUUAUUUUAUUAGCUUAACAAGGAAUUGAACACUGAAGUUUUUACUAGAGGGAUCAGGUGCUAGCAACAAAUCACAUAGAAUUCAGGCUCUCGAGGACCGAGUGAGUGACAAUGCUUGAGAAGGAAUGCAGUAUGAAAAAUGUAAUGAAGCAAUCUGCUGGUGACUACAAAACAUCAGCUACCAUGCAGGCUCCAGAGCACAAACGCUUGAGAAAGAGAGGGAUCAGGUGCUAGCAACAAAUCACAAAGAAUUCAAGCUUUUGAGGACCGAGUGGCAAUGCCGAGAAGGAAUUGAGCAAAUAUGAAAAAUGUAAUGAAGCAAUCCUUUGUUUGGAUAACACAUGGAGAAGGCGUAUGAGAUAGGAAAUCGAAAGCUUUAUUCUCAUCCUUUAGUGAACCAAAUCCUUUCAUUGUUGGAAAGAUCUGCGAGGUUAUUAUAUGUUAGAAUCUUUAUAAUCUCUUCAGUUUACCUUGAUAUUAUUAUAAAUAUUAUGCAUAUUUAGAUGUUUAUACUUGGUAGGUUAGACUUGUAAGUGGCUAAAAUAUCUCCUUUACCUUAUUUUUUCUAGGCUUGUUGUAUAUAGAGUCUAUGUUUUAGUGUUAAUUUGAUAUACAAUACAUACACAAUUCUCUCCCGCUCUAUCUGUAGUGUCUCGAAAAUUUAUGCUAAGCAACCUUUGCCGAGCUGUAUUUGCAUCCUCUAUAGAUCUUUCCUGAAUAAAAUCCUUUGCCUCUGCAAAGGUAUCCUGAAAUCUGAUUUUCCCUAUUCCAUUUGGCAACAAAAAUGGCUGUUUCACAAGUAGAUACAAUAUAUAAUUUGAUAAUAGUUUGCUCACAUGACAUACAACAUAGGCAACUGACUGAGGUUCCAAGUUUUCAUCUCUGUGAUAACAUAAAUCAGUGGCAAUAUGCCAAAGAAGAAUGCUUUGAUCAAAUUCCUUCUCAGCACUCCAGUUAAGAUCUUGUGAUUGAUACCUGUCCAAUACCCAUGAACCACUGGAAGUACAAAAUGUUCCAUCUUCCUUCGAGAAUGAUGUAUGCUCAAGAAGUUGUUUGAAUAUGUACUUCUUCAGCAGGACUGGAACUUGUUCGGUUGGCUCUGCUUCCGUCUUCAAUUUGAAUUUAUGAUAGAUAUAGCAGGGCAACAAUAUGCAUGAUUUAGUUGACUCCGCUUCAAAACCAGAGCUGAUCAGAUUGUACUGCAUCAUCUGGUUAGACUACUUACUCUCACUACCGAAAAGUUUCAGGAAUGAGACGGCCUUAUAGAUUUGCAUAACUGGAAUCUUCUCAUGAUGGUCCAACCAUAUCAAGGCCCAUUCCGAGCAAAGCCACACAAUCAUACCAAGAAUCUUAAGAGAAACGGCUCCAACCAGCAAAAUGUAAGUUAUGAUCCCAUCAACUUGAGAAUACUGGUGCUUUUGUGAGAAGAAGUAGGCUACUAAUGUGGCAAAAGUGGAUAAGAGAGUGAGAGAUCGCAAUAUGCGACCCCAUCUAGUGUAGUGUAUGGCAGAUUUUGUGUAAAAUGAAUCAAAGACAAAAGCAAGCUCCAUUUCAAUGACACUAAAAGCCUUUUUUCCAAUCACCAUGUAGGAAAAAUGAUUUGCUCAUCUCAAGUUCCUGAAAGCCAAGGACGACGUCAGCAAAGAGGCACUUGUAUAUCUGGAAGUACUCAUAAGCUCUUCUGGGAGUAGAAGCUGCUUCAAUAUGGCAGUCUUUAGCACCAUCAGCCACUAAGCUACGGAUUACCACCUUGGGAUCUUGACAACUUAAAGAGUACACCAUCUUGACAUUAUAUCAAACCGACUUGGUAAGGAUUACUACAUUUUUCCAAUAAAAGUACAGCAUCUUGACAACUUAAGAGAUUCAGCCGUUAA